AGUGCGAGAACCAAAUCCAAGAUCAUCUCAUGAAGAUAAUCUAAAUAGCAUGUUGCCGGCAGAAGAACAAGAAGGGCCUACCUUUGGAGAGGAUGUCCGGAUGGCUGAAACUACAGAGGAUACCGUUUCACAUUCACCAUUACUAGAGGACAAGAAUCCUACUAACUUGUCUGCCAAGAGUCCUCAAUGCGAGAACUUGGUAGAUGAAAUGGACAAAGAUAAGGGAAAUGAUGACGUGAAUGGAAGUAAAAGUGGAAUCGAUCUGCCUUCAUCGUCUUCUGCAAAGCCUCAAGAAGAAAGCGUUGAUAAUACAGAUGAUAAGUGCCCAGGAGCUGAAUCGUUGGCAGAGAAGGUGGCGGAGCCAAUAAUAGAAGAAACUGGUAAGAAUUCUCUGGUAUCUAAUGUGAUUUUUCUUGAGCUUAGUUGUAUGAGUCGUCUGGUACUUUUAAUAGAUUUGUAUGGAUCCGAGUUCUAUGCAAAAUAACGCAUCUUUACAAUUUAUCCUUAUAGGAGUGCGAGAACCAAAUCCAAGAUCGUCUCCUGAAGAUAAUCUAAAUAGCAAGUUGCCGGCAGAAGAACAAGAAGGGCCUCCUUUUGGAGAGGAUGUCCGGAUGGCUGAAACUAUAGAGGAUACCGUUUCACAUUCACCAUUACUAGAGGACAAGAAUACUACUAACUUGUCAGCCAAGAGUCCUCAUUGCGAGAACUUGGUAGAUGAAAUGGAAGAAGAUAAGGGAAAUGAUGACGUGAAUGGAAGUAAAAGUGGAAUCGAUCUGCCUUCAUCAUCUUCUGCAAAGCCUCAAGAAGAAAGCGUUGAUAAUACAGAUGACAAGUGCCCAGGAGCUGAAUCGUUGGCAGCUGAGGAACAGAAAGAAGAUGCGGACAAGGUAGGCAAGGAAUCCGAAGUCAGGUCCCCAGCAGGAGAAGUGAAGAAGGAUAACUCGUCAGAGCAGCCAGCUGAGGAACCUGCUGGAUCUAAUAAUGAGGGCGGCAAUGAUGUGGUUAUGGCUCAUAAUGAUGAAGAAGAGAAGGUCGACGAGCCAAUAAUAGAAGAAACUGGUAAGAGUUCUCGGGUUUCUAACUUGAUUUUUCUUGAGCUUAGUUGUAUGANNNNNNNNNNNNNNNNNNNNNNNNNNNNNNNNNNNNNNNNNNNNNNNNNNNNNNNNNNNNCUUGGCAGAUGAAAUGGGUGAAGAUAAGGGAAAUGAUGACGUGAAUGGAAGUAAAAGUGGAAUCGAUGUGCCUUCAUCAUCUUCUGCAAAGCCUCAAGAAGAAAGCGUUGAUAAUACAGAUGACAAGUGCCCAGGAGCUGAAUCGUUGGCAGCUGAGGGACAGAAAGAAGAUGCGGACAAGGUAGACAAGGAAUCCGAAGUCGGGUCCCCAGCAGGAGAAGUGAAGAUGGAUAACUCGUCAGAGCAGCCAGCUGAGGAACCUGCUGGACCUAAUAAUGAGGGCGGCAAUGAUGUGGUUAUGGCUCAUAAUGAUGAAGAAGAGAAGGUCGACGAGCCAAUAAUAGAAGAAACUGGUAAGAGUUCUCGGGUUUCUAACUUGAUUUUUCUUGAGCUUAGUUGUAUGAGUCGUCUGGU
This 1584-nucleotide long non-coding RNA is filed under the name Linum usitatissimum (flax). RNAcentral describes it as "long non-coding RNA (LUSI_LNC004845)". The record is from RNAcentral. Lineage: Eukaryota; Viridiplantae; Streptophyta; Magnoliopsida; Malpighiales; Linaceae.